UACGUAGGGGGCAAGCGUUGUCCGGAAUCAUUGGGCGUAAAGAGCGCGUAGGCGGCUAGAUAAGUCCGGUGUGAAAGUCACAGGCUCAACCUGUGAAUGCCGCUGGAAACUGUCUGGCUAGAGUCCGGAAGGGGCGAGUGGAAUUCCUGGUGUAGCGGUGAAAUGCGCAGAUAUCAGGAGGAACACCAAUUGCGAAGGCAGCUUACUACAGGGACAUUGACACUGAGGCACGAAAGCGUGGGGAUCAAACAGG
RNAcentral lists this ribosomal RNA (253 nucleotides) under uncultured bacterium. RNAcentral's name for it is "partial 16S ribosomal RNA". It matches the Rfam family "Bacterial small subunit ribosomal RNA", at positions 524 to 776 of the family's 1533-position model. The record is from RNAcentral.